This 449-nucleotide ribosomal RNA is filed under the name uncultured bacterium. RNAcentral describes it as "partial 16S ribosomal RNA". It matches the Rfam family "Bacterial small subunit ribosomal RNA", at positions 29 to 523 of the family's 1533-position model. The record is from RNAcentral.
AGCGAACAUUGGCGGUAGGCUUAACACAUGCAAGUCGAGCGAGGCGUAAUAGUCGAGCGGCGAACGGGUGCGUAAUACAUGGGAAUCUACCUUGAAGUGGGGGAUAACGUCCAGAAAUGGACGCUAAUACCGCAUAAUCCACAUUGGGAAAGCGUUGCAGCGCUUUAAGAUGAGCCCAUGGCUGAUUAGCUAGUUGGUGAGGUAAUGGCUCCCAAGGCGACGAUCAGUAGCUGGUCUGAGAGGAUGAUCAGCCACACUGGAACUGAGACACGGUCCAGACUCCUACGGGAGGCAGCAGUGGGGAAUCUUGCGCAAUGGGGGCAACCCUGACGCAGCCAUACCGCGUGAGUGAUGAAGGUCUUCGGAUUGUAAAGCUCUUUCGGCGGGGACGACGAUGACGGUACCCGCAAAAGAAGUCACGGCUAACUUCGUGCCAGCCGCCGCAGUAA